GACGAACGCUGGCGGCGUGCUUAACACAUGCAAGUCGAGCGGUAAGGCCCGUUUCGGGGGUACACGAGCGGCGAACGGGUGAGUAACACGUGGGUGACCUGCCCUUAGCUCUGGGAUAAGCCUGGGAAACUGGGUCUAAUACCGGAUAUGACUCCAUGACGCAUGUUGUGGGGUGGAAAGCCUUGUGCGGCUAGGGGAUGGGCCCGCGGCCUAUCAGCUUGUUGGUGGGGUGAUGGCCACCAAGGCGACGACGGGUAGCCGGCCUGAGAGGGCGACCGGCCACACUGGGACUGAGACACGGCCCAGACUCCUACGGGAGGCAGCAGUGGGGAAUCUUGCGCAAUGGGCGAAAGCCUGACGCAGCGACGCCGCGUGGGGAUGAC
Molecule: ribosomal RNA, 383 nt
Filed under: uncultured bacterium
Lineage: Bacteria
Description: bacterial SSU rRNA
Rfam family: Bacterial small subunit ribosomal RNA
Source: RNAcentral